This 395-nucleotide ribosomal RNA is filed under the name uncultured bacterium. RNAcentral's name for it is "bacterial SSU rRNA". It matches the Rfam family "Bacterial small subunit ribosomal RNA", at positions 36 to 459 of the family's 1533-position model. The record is from RNAcentral.
CUGGCGGCAUGCCUAACACAUGCAAGUCGAACGAGACCUUCGGGUCUAGUGGCGCACGGGUGCGUAACGCGUGGGAAUCUGCCCUCUGGUACGGAAUAACUCAGGGAAACUUGAGCUAAUACCGUAUAAUGACUUCGGUCCAAAGAUUUAUCGCCUGAGGAUGAGCCCGCGUCGGAUUAGCUAGUUGGUGAGGUAAAAGCUCCCCAAGGCGACGAUCCGUAGCUGGUCUGAGAGGAUGAUCAGCCACACUGGGACUGAGACACGGCCCAGACUCCUACGGGAGGCAGCAGUGGGGAAUAUUGGACAAUGGGCGAAAGCCUGAUCCAGCAAUGCCGCGUGAGUGAUGAAGGCCUUAGGGUUGUAAAGCUCUUUUACCCGGGAUGAUAAUGACAGUA